CUUCGCAGUCCUCUCACCUCCAUACCCCGGAUUUGGAGGAGAUGGACAAACCAUGUGGGUGCCCUCCAGGUGUGUGCGACCAUGAAAUGGGAGACUAGCAGGACCCACGUUGGCCAACCGUGGACCUGGUCCCUCCAGUAGGAGUCGUGAGCCAGCUGAAUUUGAAUGCAAAGAUGGAGCAAGGGCCGACUGGAGUCACACUGACAUCCACCCCCAUAACAUGGGGACAGAUCAAGAAAACAAAGCAGGAAGCUGAGAAAAUGCUGGAGCAUCCAUGUGCUUGGCCAUGUUAGCAGUAGUGUCCUGUGAGGAUUGAUUUCCAAAAACUCCUGUUACAUGAGGAAGACACCAAGAAGAGCAAAGAAAAGGAGCCAGGGUGGCUCUUCCUCAGCUAUCUCUUCCAAAUGCAUGACAAGGAAGUUCUCAUCAAGAAGGCAAGGCAAUACAGAAGUGUUCCACACAGGGACAUUGCAAAGACAAGCAAGUCAUCACACUGGAGAUUUUUCCUUCCAGGAAAUUGAGAAAGAUUUUCAGGACUUUGAGUUUCAGUGGCAAGAAGAUGAAAGAAAUGGCCAUGAAGCACUCAUGACAGAGAUAAAAAAGUUGACAGGUAAUACAGACUGAUAUGAUCAAAGGCAUGCUGGAAACAAACCUAUUAAAGAUCAGCUUGGAUCAAGCUUUCAUUCACAUCUGCCUGAACUGCAUAUAUUGCAGAGCAAAGGGAAAAUUGAUAGUCAAGAUGAGAAGUCUGUCAAUGAUGCUUCCUCAGUUUCAGCAUCCCAAAGAAUUUCUUGUAUUCCUAAAACCCAUAUUUCUAAUAAGUAUGGGAAUAAUUUCCUCCAGGAAGCACACAUGAGAGAAAAAUCUUUCCAAUGUAAUGAGAGUGGCAAAGCCUUUAAUUGUAGCUCACUGUUAAAAAAAUGUCAGAUAAUCCAUUUAGGAGAGAAAAAAUAUAAAUGUGAUAUAUGUGGCAAGGUCUUUAAUCAGAAGCGAUACCUUGCAUACCAUCAUAGAUGUCACACUGGUGAGAAACCUUACAAGUGUAAUCAGUGUGGCAAGACCUUCAGUUACAAGUCAUCCCUUGUAAUUCACAAGGCAAUUCAUACUGGAGAGAAACCUCACAAGUGUAAUGAAUGUGGCAAGGUUUUUAAUCAAAAAGCAUAUCUUGCAAGUCAUCAUAGACUUCAUACUGGAGAGAAACCUUACAAAUGUGAAGAAUGUGACAAAGUUUUUAGUCGCUAAUCACACCUUGAAAGACAUAGGAGAAUUCAUACUGGAGAGAAACCGUACAAAUGUAAGGUUUGUGACAAGGCUUUCAGACGUGAUUCACACCUGGCACAACAUAUUGUAAUUCACACUGGAGAGAAACCUUACAAGUGUAAUGAGUGUGGCAAGACCUUUGUUCAAAAUUCAUCUCUUGUAAUGCAUAAGGUCAUUCAUACUGGAGAGAAAUGUUACAAGUGUAAUGAAUGUGGCAAGGUUUUUAAUCACAAAUCAAACCUUGCAUGUCAUCAUAGACUUCAUACUGGAGAGAAACCUUACAAGUGUAAUGAAUGUGGCAAGGUUUUUAAUUGAAAAUCAAACCUUGAACAUCAUCAUAGAGUUCAUAUCGGAGAAAAACCUUACAAAUGUGAAGAAUGUGACAAAGUUUUCAAUUUCAAUUCACGCCUUGAAAUACAUAGGAGAGUUCAUACUGGAGAGAAACCAUAGAAAUGUAAGGUUUGUGACAAGGCAUUCGGGUGUGAUUCACACCUGGCACAACAUACUAGAAUUCACACUGGAGAGAAACCGUGCAAGUGUGAUGAGUGUGACAGAGCCUUCAGUGGUCAGUCAACACUUAUUCACCAUCAAGCAAUCCAUGUCAUAGGGAAACUUUACUAAUGUAAUGAUUGUCACAAAGUCCUCAGUAAUGCUACAACCAUUGCAAAUUAUUGGAGAAUGCAUAAUGAAGUGAGAACUUACAAGUGUUAUAAAUGUGGCAAAUUUUUCAGACUUCGUUCAUACCUUGCAGUUUAUCAGCGAACUCAUACUGGAGAGAAACCUUACAAAUGUGAUGAUUGUGGCAAGGUCUUCAGUCAAGCUUCAUCUUAUGCAAAACACAGGUGAAUUCAUACAAGAAAGAAACCUCACAAGGGUGAUGAUUGUGUCAAAGCCUUUAUUUCAGGUUCAUGCCUCAUUACACAUCAGAGAAUCCAUACUAGACAGAGAUCUUACAAAAGUCAUAUGUGUGGCAAGAUCUUUAGUCUGAGGUCACUCCUUGCAGGACAUCAGGAAAUUCAUUUUUGAGGUAAUAAUUUCAAAUGCAAUGAGUAUAGCAAACCAUCAAGCACAAUUGAUGUUAGAUUCAAAUCAGCAUUGAGUUCAGUUUGAGUUGACUUAACAUUGAGUUCAAGUAUUUGUUGAGAUUAAAGUGUUUAUGUUAAGAGGAUUAGGCCAGGUGCGGUGGCUCACACCUGUAAUCCCAGCACUUUGGGAGGCCAAGACAGGUAGAUCACUUGAGAUCAGGAGUUUGAGAGCAGCCUGGCCAACAGAGGUGAGCACCUUUCCCAGUCUGUUUUUUGUUUCUUCAACAAAAACUGAUAGAGAUUUUUAUGGGUAUUGUGUUGAAUCAAAAUCACAUUGGGUUAUGUAAUCAUUUAACAGUAUUAAUUUUUC
RNAcentral lists this long non-coding RNA (2655 nucleotides) under Homo sapiens (human). Its description in RNAcentral is "non-protein coding lnc-ZNF816-2:2". Lineage: Eukaryota; Metazoa; Chordata; Mammalia; Primates; Hominidae. The record is from RNAcentral.